Microcebus murinus (gray mouse lemur) is the source of this 635-nucleotide non-coding RNA. Lineage: Eukaryota; Metazoa; Chordata; Mammalia; Primates; Cheirogaleidae. The record is from RefSeq and is a predicted model, not a curated record.
GUAUCCACUUUCAUAAAGAAGUUCCAAACACGCUUUUCCGCCCGCUCCCUCCCUGCCACUGAGCGCGGCUGCCUCUCGGCGCUCGCUGCCGACUGCCGGCUCCUGCCACGCCGGCGCCGCCGCCUCCCUGCAGCCUCCAUCAGAGUCAUCUGCCGGGACCUCAUCAGCCAUGACGAGAUGUUCUCUGACAUUCACUGAUCCGAGAGAUCGCAGGCGGCCUGUGCCUGGAGGUGGAGGGGAAGACAGUCAGUAGGACAGAGGGCGACAUUGAUGACCUGCUCGUUGGUGGCAAUGUUUCCGCUGAAGGCCCUGAGGGCGAAAUAACGGAAAGCACAGUAAUCACUGGUGUUGAUAUCGUCAUGAACCAUCACUUGCAAGAAACCAGCUUUACAAAAGAAGCCUACAAGAAGUACAUCAAAGAUUACAUGAAGUCAAUCAAAGGCAAACUUGAAGAACAGAGACCAGAAAGAGUAAAACCGUUUAUGACAGGGACUGCAGAACAAAUCAAACAAAUCCUUGCUAAUUUCAAAAACUACCAUGAAUCAAGAUAGCAUGGUUGCUCUACUGAACUACCGUGAGGACGGUGUGACCAAAUAUAUGAUUUUAAGGAUGGUUUAGAAAUGGAAAAAUGUUAA